CAUUAUAUUUUUUUACAUGAACUCUUUGGGAAUGUAUCUAUUAUGUAAAAACAGAAUUGGGUGUGUAUGUAUGUGUAUAUAUAUAUAUAUAGAUAUAAAAGGGAGUUUGCGUUAUAUCUUUUACUCGCUUAUAUGAAAGAAGGAAACGGUGCGAGUUAUGCAACCCACUUUCAUCGCUUCGACAUGAAUGCUGUGACGGGUUGUUGUUAUCUUUCCGAAUGUUUUAUCACUUUUAGCCGAGUCGUUCUUCCAGUUUAUAGUGUAACACAUCCGCACAUAGCUGUUUGCUAACGAUACAUGGCAUGUUCUCUUAGUUCGUAAGGUCAAUGACCCAGUACGGGUUGGUCGAUAGUGUUUGGGUUUGCUCGCUUACAGAUGGUUCAGACAGUCUACGAAUAAUAGUUCUUCAGUUGCAGUUUACGGAAAGGUAGCUCUUCUGUUUUCCCCCCUAUAUAUAUAUGUGUGUGUGUGUGUCUGUGUGUGUGUUUGUGUCCAAGAAGAUGCCAUCUAUAGUUGGCUUCAAAUGGAUAUUGUGUUAUCCCCGCCUGCAGGGUUUUGUACUUCGUUCCACGAACUUCGCCACUGCUUUUAUCAACUUUUGAAAAUAGUUCUGCUUGCCACAACCUAAUUCAAUUUCUAAAGUACUAUCAGUAAAACCGGGACGAAACGGAAC
Molecule: long non-coding RNA, 673 nt
Filed under: Androctonus crassicauda
Lineage: Eukaryota; Metazoa; Arthropoda; Arachnida; Scorpiones; Buthidae
Source: RNAcentral